GACAUUGUACCACAAGGUUCCGUAUAACAAAGGGAAGGCUGGGAUUGAGUUUGGGGUUAAUUGCCCCAAACGUAGGAAUUAGGGGCCAAAAACAAGCAUUUUUCUAGUUUCCAGACAAUAACUUGUAAGUGUAUGGAUCUCUCUGAAAUUGUACUACAAGGUUCCAUAUCACAAAGGGAAAGCUGGGUUUGAGUUUGGGGGUAAUUGCCCUAAAUGUUUAGGAAUUUGGGGCCAAAAAGGGGCCAAAAAACAAGCAUUUUUCUAGUUUCCAGACAAUAACUUGUGUUCAAGUGUAUGGAUCUCUCUGAAAUUGUACUGCUAGGUACCAUACCACAAAGGGAAGGCUGGGAUUGAGUUUGGGGGUGAUGAAUCAUAAGGGGGUUCAAAAAAUUUGGGGGGGGGGAUUUUUUUUUCCUUUUUUUUCUUUAAAAUAUUCCAUUUUAAAUUGGUUAUUUCUGAUUUAUAUAUAAAAGCAAAUAACAAUGAUAUGGUUUGAAAAGGUAAAUUAAAUUUUUUUAAGUUCUUAGACCACAUUCAUUCUGUGUCGGAAACCUGUGCUGUGUCAAAUAUUUAAUUACAAUCCAAAUUCAGUGCUGUAUCAAGCUUGAAUGUUGUGUCCAUACUUGCCCCAACUGUUCAGGGUUCGACCUCUGCGGUCGUAUCAAGCUGCGCCCCAGCGGAGCAUUUUAUUGUUCAUUGUUGAAGGCCGUAUGGUGACCUAUAGUUGUUAACUUCUAUUUCAUUUAGUCUCUGGUGGAGUGUUGUCUCAUUGGCAAUUAUACCACUUUUAUUAGCUCACCUGGCCCACAGAGCCAAGUGAGCUUUUCUCAUCACUUGGCGUCCGUCGUUGUCGUCCGUUAACUUUUACAAAAAUCUUCUCCUCUGAAACUACAAGGCCAAAUUUAACCAAACUUGGCCACAAUCAUCAUUAGGGUAUCUAGUUUAAAAAAUGUGUCCGAUGACCCAGCUUUCCAACCAUCAUGGCCAACUUGGUUAAAAAUAGAACAUAGGGGUAAAAUGCAGUUUUUGGUUUAAAUCUCUGAAACUAAUAAAGCAUUUAGAGCAAAUCUGACAGGUGGCAAAAAUGUUCAUCAGAUUUAGAUUUAUCUGCCCUGAAAUUUUCAGACGAAUCCGACAACCCGUUGUUGGGUUGCUGCCCCUGAGUUAGUAAUUUUACAAAAAUUUUGCAGUUUUUUGUUAUUAUCUUAGAUAUCAUUAUAAUAUCUAAUAUCUAAUACUGUUAAUUAUGAUUUUAACCUUAUUUUACAUGAUUUCCAAAGCAUCAGUAAAUACAGGUGAGCGACACAGGCUCUUGAGAGCCUCUAGUUUUUAUAUGCUGUUGCAUUAAUAUCCAUAUGUUUAAUGGUUCGAUGAUUACAAAGAAUUUUUUAUGAUAGACCAUUGAUAUAUAGUAUGCUGUUGCAUUAGUAUCCAGGUUUCAUGGUUUGGUAUUUAUAAAAAGUCUUUAUGAUAGACCAUUGAUAUGUUAACGGCAAUAAGUAAAAUAAGGCAUUAAGCUUAAAUCUUAGGCAAUAAACUAACGCCUAGGCAUUGAGUUAUUGCCUGAAAUUUUCAGGCAUUAAGCUUAUUUCCUGAAAUCUGAUGAUGAUUAUUCAACCUAUUGCCAAAUAUCAUUUCAGGCAAUAAGUGAACUUUUGGGAUUUUUGCUUUAUAUUCAAUGUAAAUGUACAUUCGGUGAAAUAUUCUUGAUGUAAAGUUUAUUUUAUAUUAUAUUCCAAAUAUCAAUAUACAUUAAAUUAGCAGAUCUGCAAA
Mytilus californianus (California mussel) is the source of this 1773-nucleotide long non-coding RNA. RefSeq lists it as uncharacterized. The record is from RefSeq and is a predicted model, not a curated record. The transcript is spliced from 2 exons. Lineage: Eukaryota; Metazoa; Mollusca; Bivalvia; Mytilida; Mytilidae.